GCAGGUGUGGUUCAACGGCUAGAAUGCAACCUUGCCAAGGUUGAGACGGGGUUUCGACUACCCUCACUUGCUCCA
RNAcentral lists this transfer RNA (75 nucleotides) under Bacilli bacterium. RNAcentral describes it as "tRNA-Gly". It matches the Rfam family "tRNA". Rfam says of the family: Transfer RNA (tRNA) molecules are approximately 80 nucleotides in length. Their secondary structure includes four short double-helical elements and three loops (D, anti-codon, and T loops). The record is from RNAcentral. Lineage: Bacteria; Bacillati; Bacillota; Bacilli.